AUCAACUAAUCAACUCAAGUGAGUGAGCAACUCCAAUCAUGGCAAUAUGCUUCUUAACCUGAAAUCCACAAGCCAAACAGUGAGUCCAAACCACUAGGUCAAAGCCUAGGGUCAACAGAGGGUCAAACAUCCAAAACAGAACAUGAAAUUCAACAUGAAUCAACCUCAAUCAAUUAAGAACACAAUCCAAAAGGUCUCAU
RNAcentral lists this long non-coding RNA (200 nucleotides) under Lathyrus oleraceus (garden pea). RNAcentral's name for it is "Pisum sativum (pea) long non-coding RNA (PSAT_LNC033911)". Lineage: Eukaryota; Viridiplantae; Streptophyta; Magnoliopsida; Fabales; Fabaceae. The record is from RNAcentral.